This 1267-nucleotide unclassified non-coding RNA is filed under the name Apis dorsata (giant honeybee). RNAcentral's name for it is "uncharacterized LOC102679464, transcript variant X1". Lineage: Eukaryota; Metazoa; Arthropoda; Insecta; Hymenoptera; Apidae. The record is from RNAcentral.
CGGCUCCGUGGCCGUUCGUCCGAAUCAUACGCCGGCUCGUGCGAGCUCGAUAAACACGUUCCACAAUUGGUGGUUCCUUGGAUUCGUCUGGAUUCGUGCCGUCACGAUUUUUCGAUAAUUCCAAGAAUUUAUUACAAAGGAAACGAACGAGUUCUCGAGAAAAUUCUCUCACCUCGAUCGAAUACGCGGUGUCGAUGAAGAGGGCCACGUGAUCAUCGCAACCGGUUCGAUAAUGCGGCCGAUUGGUUGGGCGAUGGCGUGCGCGUUGCUCGCGUCUACUUUUCCAAAAAGUGCAUCUCUGCUCGCCAGCGCGGAGGAGGAGAGUGUUGGUAUCGUUGCUACAGCUCACCGCCAUCCAACUGAACGCGGCAAACUAACCAAACUGCUGCCCAUUUCCAAGGACACUUCACCGGAUCCCGAUACACACCGACUCGAACAAUUAAUCGACGAUGAGAGGAGCAGGAGAAGGAAGAGGAGCGUACAGGAAGGGACGAGAAGAGAGGGUCGAACGUUCGGUCAUAAGCGAAUCCAAUUCAUGCUGAUGCCGAUGAUGUACAAAAUGGGAGUGAUGAUGACGAUGCUGAUCGUUUUGACGGCGAUCUCCGUCAAGGGAUUGCUCGUUGGUGCCAUGUUAUUAAUGCUGAAACUGAGCACGCUAAUAGCCAAGUUCUCCUUCGGUUGGCAGCACAAUGCGCAGACUCCUCAACCGAUCCAUGUGCACGUUCACAACAGUCCACCAACGGCUCACAAUCAAGCGUACAGCGGUUGGAUGCCGGGGAGCGGUCCAGGAGGGGAACACCACUACUACUACAGAGCAUCGUAAACCCUCUCCCCGUGAAGAGACCGUUUCUUCGAUAUAUAUAUAUAUAUAUAUAUAAAAAUCGCGAUUAUUUGUGAUAAUUUAUCAUACGAUCAAGCGAACUCGAUGCUACAUUUGCUCUCCACGUACCAAAGGAUAUUUACUCUCAGAAUUUAAGUUUUUUUUUAUUUAAGUUUUAUUUCGAAAAGUAAGACUGGCACCUCGCCUCGAAUCGCAUAUAGAUAUAAUCGAGAAAAAGACCAAAUUGAGAGGCCAAAAUUGUGUAAACUUGUGUUACGUUUAAGGAACAACAACCUCAACACGUUUACCUCAACUUAGCGAUAUUAGUAUUAAUUUAUUAUUGUAGUAAGGAAGCAGCGUCUCCGUCUCGAUAACCAUCCACGUUUAAUCCUAACAAUUAUAUGUAUAUCAUCGUAGAAUGUAUUUUAUUAAAUUUUUUUUUUUUUU